GAUGAACGCUAGCGGCAGGCCUAGCACAUGCAAGUCGAGGGGCAGCACAGAAACAGCAAUGUUUUGGUGGCGACCGGCGGACGGGUGCGUAACGCGUAUGCAACCUAUCUUUAACAGGGGGAUAACGGAGAGAAAUUUCCACUAAUACCCCAUAACAUCGAUCAAGGCAUCUUGAUUGGUUGAAAACUCCGGUGGUUAAAGAUGGGCAUGCGUUGUAUUAGGUAGUUGGUGAGGUAAUGGCUCACCAAGCCUACGAUACAUAGGGGGACUGAGAGGUUAGCCCCCCACACUGGUACUGAGACACGGACCAGACUCCUACGGGAGGCAGCAGUGAGGAAUAUUGGUCAAUGGGGGCAACCCUGAACCAGCCAUGCCGCGUGCAGGAAGACGGCUCUAUGAGUUGUAAACUGCUUUUAAACAGGGAUAAAGCACAGUAUGUAUACUGUGUUGAAGGUACUGUAAGAAUAAGGAUCGGCUAACUCCGUGCCAGCCGCCGCAGUAA
This 502-nucleotide ribosomal RNA is filed under the name uncultured bacterium. RNAcentral describes it as "partial 16S ribosomal RNA". It matches the Rfam family "Bacterial small subunit ribosomal RNA", at positions 28 to 523 of the family's 1533-position model. The record is from RNAcentral.